RNAcentral lists this ribosomal RNA (498 nucleotides) under uncultured bacterium. RNAcentral's name for it is "partial 16S ribosomal RNA". It matches the Rfam family "Bacterial small subunit ribosomal RNA", at positions 30 to 523 of the family's 1533-position model. The record is from RNAcentral.
AUUGAACGCUGGCGGCAUGCCUUACACAUGCAAGUCGAACGGUAACAGGUCUUCGGAUGCUGACGAGUGGCGAACGGGUGAGUAAUACAUCGGAACGUGCCUAGUAGUGGGGGAUAACUACUCGAAAGAGUGGCUAAUACCGCAUGAGAUCUACGGAUGAAAGCAGGGGAUCGCAGGACCUUGUGCUACUAGAGCGGCCGAUGGCAGAUUAGGUAGUUGGUGGGAUAAAAGCUUACCAAGCCGACGAUCUGUAGCUGGUCUGAGAGGACGAUCAGCCACACUGGGACUGAGACACGGCCCAGACUCCUACGGGAGGCAGCAGUGGGGAAUUUUGGACAAUGGGCGCAAGCCUGAUCCAGCAAUGCCGCGUGCAGGAUGAAGGCCUUCGGGUUGUAGACUGCUUUUGUACGGAACGAAAAGCCCCGGGUUAAUACCCUGGGGUCAUGACGGUACCGUAAGAAUAAGCACCGGCUAACUACGUGCCAGCCGCCGCAGUAA